This 85-nucleotide ribosomal RNA is filed under the name Aeromonas hydrophila. The record is from RNAcentral. RNAcentral also lists the same sequence under 1 other name. Lineage: Bacteria; Pseudomonadati; Pseudomonadota; Gammaproteobacteria; Aeromonadales; Aeromonadaceae.
CCUGGCGGCCAUAGCGCCGUGGAACCACCUGAACCCAUGCCGAACUCAGAAGUGAAACGCGGUAGCGCCGAUGGUAGUGUGGCAU